CCUACGGGUGGCAGCAGUGGGGAAUAUUGGACAAUGGGCGAAAGCCUGAUCCAGCCAUGCCGCGUGUGUGAAGAAGGCCUUCGGGUUGUAAAGCACUUUCAGUGGGGAAGAAAGCCUUGGGGCUAAUACCCUCGAGGAAGGACAUCACCCACAGAAGAAGCACCGGCUAACUCCGUGCCAGCAGCCGCGGUAAUACGGAGGGUGCGAGCGUUAAGCGGAAUUACUGGGCGUAAAGCGCGCGUAGGCGGUCUGAUAAGCCGGUUGUGAAAGCCCCGGGCUCAACCUGGGAACGGCAUCCGGAACUGUCAGGCUAGAGUGCAGGAGAGGAAGGUAGAAUUCCCGGUGUAGCGGUGAAAUGCGUAGAGAUCGGGAGGAAUACCAGUGGCGAAGGCGGCCUUCUGGACUGACACUGACGCUGAGGUGCGAAAGCGUGGGUAGCAAACAGGAUUAGAUACCCUAGUAGUC
RNAcentral lists this ribosomal RNA (465 nucleotides) under Vreelandella stevensii. RNAcentral describes it as "partial 16S ribosomal RNA". It matches the Rfam family "Bacterial small subunit ribosomal RNA", at positions 338 to 795 of the family's 1533-position model. The record is from RNAcentral. Lineage: Bacteria; Pseudomonadati; Pseudomonadota; Gammaproteobacteria; Oceanospirillales; Halomonadaceae.